GGUGCCAAUUUAGUGGGGGUAUCAGAAUGGUGGCCCCCUAGGGGGUCUGUGCUAAGUCAACAACAGCAACUGGGGGAAGGACAGUACACUGCUGCCAUACCAGCAAAAGCCAGAAUGGCUAGACCAUGCUGUGGCUGCUGCAGUCAUGGAUUUUUUUUGAGUCCCUGAGGCAGGUUAGUCUCUUCACCCCCUUUGGCAUUCAGUGAUCGCCUAGUUCCCUUAUCCCCACUUCCAACACAAUUUUUCCCAGGCACAAACCCUCUUAGUUAGAGCUCUGCUUAGGUGCACAUGGAGCAAGAACAAGUGGGUAGGACAUGUCUCUUAGUGGCAAUCCUAGGCUAAACAAUGAGGCAACCCCUUAGACUCUUCUAGGAUCAGAGAGAUAGACUACAGAUUCUUUGAGCCAUUCUUUGUCUUUUUAUGCCAUGCCUAGCACAGUGGCAACCUACUCUGUCAUCAGGGUAUCUAAGCUCUACCACAAUUAAACUAAUUACUUCUUUUUAAUUUCUACUUGUUUCUGAAUUGUUAUAUCCAGGUCUAGAUCCAGAGAAGAGCCUCUUGGUGUCCAGUGCUACCCUCUCAAAGUACAAUCGGCAACAGGAAUAAUGGGACUUGCUGAGCUCAGUGGCCCAAUAAAGUUCUGUCAUGGGAACAUAUGACUCCAGGGACUCUGCAUCAUGGUUCUCCACCAGGUGUUUCUCUUCAAUGAUCCCAGCUCAGCCUCCCUGUCCAACCUGCACCUACUGAGUCCCAGGAUCCAGCCUGAGAAUUAACCGACACAGGUAAACUCUCUGCAGAUGGAACAGA
This is a long non-coding RNA of Gavialis gangeticus (Gharial), 807 nucleotides long. RefSeq lists it as uncharacterized. The record is from RefSeq and is a predicted model, not a curated record. The transcript has 3 exons. NCBI's taxonomy places the organism in Eukaryota, Metazoa, Chordata, Crocodylia, Gavialidae.